Molecule: long non-coding RNA, 1375 nt
Organism: Dermochelys coriacea (leatherback sea turtle)
Lineage: Eukaryota; Metazoa; Chordata; Testudines; Dermochelyidae
Exons: 3
Source: RefSeq, a predicted model, not a curated record
UUCUGAGAAGAGGGAGGAGUAUUUGAGAGGCUGCAGAGAAGUUGCUUUAAAGUUCCUCCCUGGGAGGAGGGAGUGAAGAGACUAGCAAACCCAUAGGAGUAGGGAAGGCCAGGAGGUAUGGGAGUGACUUAGGGAAAGGCACCAAGGUGCAAGGAUUGGACCUUAGCUGCUGUGCAGAGGGUCUCUGAACCAGCACCUGGAGUAGAGGAUAGACCCAGGAUCCCACGCCAGCAAGUGUCUGAGUGGCGCUGAGCGGCAGUGAAAUGGGAGACUGCUGGAGAGCAGGAAUCUUGAUACACACACCCCAAAUGAGGAAGCAACAAUAGUGACCUGGGUGGCGUCACAGAAAGCACAGCUGCAGCUCCUGAGAGUAAGAGGAGAAACUUACGGCCCUGUCGAGCAAUGAAUACAGGUGACAAUGGAUACAGCUCCAAGAGCAGCUGCCUGUCACAUCAAGAAUACCUGGGUGCUGAUCAACAUCUGGGUGGAGUACAUUGUCCUCCAUGAUUUCAGCUGAAGCAGCAGGAAAAUUCAUGUGUACCAGGAAAUGUCAUGAAGGCUGGAUCUGAUGAGCAUUCAGCAGGCUCCGUCCCAGUGCCAGGAACAGAUGAAGAGCCUAAGGCUCCUAUACAGGGAGGCAAAAGACUCAGUCAGACCAGGAGGGCUCAUCACACAUGCCUCUUCUACUAGGAGCUUGACUGGAUGUUGUCAAGAGCCAGCAGUACUGAGCCUAAAGUGUCUCACACUGCCCUGAUAAAAGCAGCUGGCCUCAUUGUCCAACAGGAAGCAGCAGGGACCAUGAAGAUUCUCCUAGAAAACACAGAGGGUGAAGAGCAAUUUAUUCUGCACCUUUGCCCAGAGGUCCACUUUGCAGAAACCUCUUACAACGAACUCCAGGAGGACAUGGUGCUACAGCAGAAUCAGGACCCCGGCUGGAGCUUCAGCUUGUGAGAGUGAAACCAUGCCAGCAAGAGGGCAGAAUCAACACCCCAGAGAGGGAAGGAAUAGGAGGAAAAGGGCCCUAGAGGACCUGUUUAAAGGAGAAGCAAAACCAGGAGCAAUUUGAGUUCCUCAGGGCAAGAGAUGAGGGGUCGCUCCUCAGCAGGAAGAGGCUUUUGGUCCAAUUUUUGGAUACUACAUUGAGAACCUGAACAUUCCCUAAUGAAAUGCUAAUUGGAUUGGUGGCUGAGGUCCCAGAACCAGCCCAUCAACUGCCUCCUCCUCUUCCUCUGGCUGCUUCUUUAGAGCCUGUAAAUCCUCAUUAAAUACCUCUCUGACCAGCCAGAGGACAAACACUGGAUCUACAUGUACUGUCCUCCCAAAGCCCUUGCAGGAAAUAUUCUUAAAUUUCAUUGCGAGCUAUUUUCCCCUAUUG